Molecule: ribosomal RNA, 282 nt
Filed under: uncultured bacterium
Lineage: Bacteria
Description: partial 16S ribosomal RNA
Rfam family: Bacterial small subunit ribosomal RNA
Source: RNAcentral
GAUGAACGCUGGCGGCGUGCUUAACACAUGCAAGUCGAGCGAAGCGCUUUGGUUAGAUUCUUCGGAUGAAGACCUUUGUGACUGAGCGGCGGACGGGUGAGUAACGCGUGGGUAACCUGCCUCAUACAGGGGGAUAACAGUUAGAAAUGACUGCUAAUACCGCAUAAGACCACAGUACCGCAUGGUACAGGGGUAAAAACUCCGGUGGUAUGAGAUGGACCCGCGUCUGAUUAGCUGGUUGGUGGGGUAACGCCUACCUAGUCUUCGAUGGAUAGGGGUUCU